RNAcentral lists this ribosomal RNA (495 nucleotides) under uncultured bacterium. RNAcentral describes it as "partial 16S ribosomal RNA". It matches the Rfam family "Bacterial small subunit ribosomal RNA", at positions 28 to 507 of the family's 1533-position model. The record is from RNAcentral.
GACGAACGCUGGCGGCGUGCCUAAUACAUGCAAGUAGAACGCUGAAGGAGGAGCUUGCUCUUAUGGAUGAGUUGCGAAAGGGUGAGUAACGCGUAGGUAACCUGCCCGGUAGCGGGGGAUAACUAUUGGAAACGAUAGCUAAUACCGCAUAACAGUAGAUGUUGCAUGACAUUUACUUAAAAGGUGCAAUUGCAUCACUACCAGAUGGACCUGCGUUGUAUUGGCUAGUUGGUGGGGUAACGGCUCACCAAGGCGACGAUACAUAGCCGAACUGAGAGGGGGGUCGGCCACACUGGGACUGAGACACGGCCCAGACUCCUUCGGGAGGCAGCAGUAGGGAAUCUUCGGCAAUGGACGGAAGUCUGACCGAGCAACGCCGCGUGAGUGAAGAAGGUUUUCGGAUCGUAAAGCUCUGUUGUCAGAGAAGAACGAGUGUGAGAGUGGAAAGUUCACACUGUGACGGUAUCUUACCAGAAAGGGACGGCUAACUACGUG